Molecule: ribosomal RNA, 335 nt
Filed under: uncultured Leptolinea sp.
Lineage: Bacteria; Bacillati; Chloroflexota; Anaerolineae; Anaerolineales; Anaerolineaceae
Description: bacterial SSU rRNA
Rfam family: Bacterial small subunit ribosomal RNA
Source: RNAcentral
ACAGGUGCUGCGAUGGCUGUCGUCAGCUCGUGUCGUGAGAUGUUCGGUUAAGUCCGCUAACGAGCGCAACCCUCGCUGUGUGUUAUAUGUGUCACACGGGACUGCCGGUCUUAAGCCGGAGGAAGGUGGGGAUGAUGUCAAGUCAGCAUGGCCUUUAUAUCCUGGGCUACACACACGCUACAAUGGCCAGCACAGUAGGUUGCUAAGCCGCGAGGUGGAGCCAAUCCAUAAAGCUGGUCUCAGUUCAGAUUGCAGGCUGCAACCCGCCUGCAUGAAGAUGGAGUUGCUAGUAACCGCAGGUCAGCUAUACUGCGGUGAAUACGUUCCCGGGGCUU